Molecule: transfer RNA, 63 nt
Filed under: Metorchis bilis
Lineage: Eukaryota; Metazoa; Platyhelminthes; Trematoda; Opisthorchiida; Opisthorchiidae
Description: tRNA-Ala
Source: RNAcentral
GACGAUAUAGUUUAAGUUGAGAUGGGUGCUCUGCAAGUAUUCGGUGAGUUGUUUCUAUCGUUG